Orcinus orca (killer whale) is the source of this 2436-nucleotide long non-coding RNA. RefSeq lists it as uncharacterized. The record is from RefSeq and is a predicted model, not a curated record. Lineage: Eukaryota; Metazoa; Chordata; Mammalia; Artiodactyla; Delphinidae. The transcript has 3 exons.
GAUAAAUUAGGACUUUGGGACUGACAUUUUCACACCACUAUAUAUAAAAUAGAUAAAGAACAAGGACCUACUGUAUAGCACAGGGAAUUCUACUCAGUAUUCUGCAGUAACCUAUAUGGGAAAAGAAUCUGAAAAACAAUAGAUAUAUGUAUUUGUAUAACUGAAUCACUUUGCUGUACACCUGAAACUAACACAAUAUUGUAAAUCAACUAUACUCCAAUAUAAAAUUAAAUUUAAAAAAUAAUAAUAAUAAAAGAAAAAACAGGCAGGAGUAAUUAACGAUAGCUAUUAGACAGAAUUAAAUAGAUAGCAUAUGAGAAAGUGCCUGAUAUAUAGGUGGCACCCAGUAAGGUAAUUUUCCUUCCUUCUCCUUGUGCUUUCCCAGCCAGAAUGGAUUUCUCCUGUUUUUUAACUCCCUCAAUACUAUCUUUCCUUACCUGUUCUUAGAGCCCUUAACAAAUGAGACAUGUUCUAAUUUUGAAAAUGCUUUAGUUAUUUUCUGAGACAAGCAAAAACAUCCAAAAACCCUCUCCCUACAAGUUCCACAAGCUGUCCAGUUACGAGACUGGGUUCUGUAGUUUGGGUCUGAGGAUCCCUGACUGCUUCUGACCACCCCACAGUGCCCACCCUCAUGGAAUUCUAAGGGACUGAAAGAGAAUAUUUCUUUGCAUCUUGAGUGUAGGCCAAGCUCAGCUCUAGGGACUAUAUAUAUAUUCUGUAUUAUUUAAUACUCAAGAUAACUUUCAACAAUAAGGUUGAAACUUUAUUCCCAUUUUAGAGAUGGAGAAAACAAGGCCCAGACAUAUUAAGUAAUUUACUCAGGGUCACAGACUUUGUCGUGGGCAGAGUAGAGUUUGGAGAGAAGUGUGUUUGAUGUCACAGCUCUCUUCUUCCUCCUCUACCACAGAAUAGCUGAAUUUUGUCUCCUUCACAAUCUCCAUUGUCCUGUCAGAGAUCAAGCCCCUGCUUCCUGGCUAAUGAGAAUAAUUGGUCCUCAUCCCCUUCAGCACAUCCUUUCAUGUGUCUGAGCACCUCACCUGGCUCAGUCUUUUCUGUAGACCCAUGAGGCCCAUCUUUCUCAACCUCCUCACAUCAAUCCAACUCCCCAAACCUUUUAUCACUCUCUACUGCUCUCCUUUUAACUGGUUCCAAUCUCUCAGCGUCUGCCAGAGUGUCCAGGACCAAAGGCUGUCUGCCAGGAGAUCGGAAGCCAUGCCAGCAUUGAGUUGAGCUGUUACCUGGCGCAUCGUGAACACGUGUCUCACUGAUUCCAGCAAUGAGAAGGUGUCAAUUCAUGGUUCAAGGUAAAAAGAGAGAGCAUGUGGGAAACCUUGAAGAAGUGAAGAGUGCCACUCAAGCAGUGGCAAGAAAGGUAGAUAGAGGUAAGCUGUCUUGGGCACAAGUGUGAACAUGGAACUCAAACCCAUGCAACAAAAGCAUCGAAUGCUGAGUAAGCAGAAGGCAUGUCCUAGGCACAAAGAUGAGCAGAAUUGAGAUAUAAAGAAGAAUAGAAGACCUAUCCCUUCCCUUAAGGAACUCACUGUCCAGCUCUCCAUCGGCCAACAUGGAAGCCACUUGUCACAGGUGGUUAGGAGUACCUAAAAUGUGGCUGGUUGAAAUUGAGAUGUGCUGUAAAAUAUACACCAAAGUUUGAAGACUUAAGAUGAAAAAAAUAUGUGAAAUUUUUACACUGAUUACUGGUUGAACUGAUUCAUAUUUUUAACAUAUUGGGUUAAAUUAAAAAUAUUAUUAAAAUUAAUUUCAUCUAUUUCUUUUUACUUUUUUUAUAUGAGGCUACUAGAGAAUCUCACAUUGCAUGUGUGGCCUACAUUUUAUUCCUGUUGGACAGUACUGGUCGAUUCAGCAAGAUGAGGAAACUGAGGUCCUAGAGGUUACAUAACUGCCCUAAGUUGAUGCAGAGAGGGCGGGGCUGAGAAGAGAUCGUGUCUGCCUGACUUCAAAGCUCAGAAAUUUUCCAUGAUGAAACACUCCACACAAGGAUUUCAGCUUCUACUUUGGAUAAUACUGCUGACUAUUGUACAGAGCAAUUUGUCCGAGUGUUUGGGGGAUAGGUGUUGUGCAAGAAAGAAGUAGAAAAUGUUGGUAGACUAUGAAGAAGACCAACGAAGGCAUGAAGGGACAAGAAACCAAAGAAAGGAGUUAUUAAGAAUGUAAACCGUGGGCUUCCCUGGUGGCACAGUGGUUAAGAAUCCACCUGCCAAUGCAGGGGACAUGGGUUCGAGCCCUGGCCUGGGAAGACCCCACAUGCCAUGGAGCAAUUAAGCCCAUGUGCCACAACUACUGAGCCCAGGUGCUGCAACUAUUGAAGCCCGCAAGCCUAGAGCCCAUGCUCCGAAACAAGAGAAGCCACCGCAAUGAGAAACCCAUGCACUGCAACGAAGACCCAACACAGCCAAAAAUAAAAUAAAUUAAUUU